CGAACGCUGGCGGCGUGCUUAACACAUGCAAGUCGAACGGAAAGGCCCUGCUUUUGUGGGGUGCUCGAGUGGCGAACGGGUGAGUAACACGUGAGUAACCUGCCCUUGACUUUGGGAUAACUUCAGGAAACUGGGGCUAAUACCGGAUAGGAGCUCCUGCUGCAUGGUGGGGGUUGGAAAGUUUCGGCGGUUGGGGAUGGACUCGCGGCUUAUCAGCUUGUUGGUGGGGUAGUGGCUUACCAAGGCUUUGACGGGUAGCCGGCCUGAGAGGGUGACCGGCCACAUUGGGACUGAGAUACGGCCCAGACUCCUACGGGAGGCAGCAGUGGGGAAUAUUGCACAAUGGGCGGAAGCCUGAUGCAGCAACGCCACGUGCGGGAUGACGGCCUUCGGGUUGUAAACCGCUUUCGCCUGUGACGAAGCGUGAGUGACGGUAAUGGGUAAAGAAGCACCGGCUAACUACGUG
Molecule: ribosomal RNA, 466 nt
Filed under: uncultured bacterium
Lineage: Bacteria
Description: partial 16S ribosomal RNA
Rfam family: Bacterial small subunit ribosomal RNA
Source: RNAcentral